This 89-nucleotide transfer RNA is filed under the name Terriglobia bacterium. RNAcentral's name for it is "tRNA-Leu". It matches the Rfam family "tRNA". Rfam says of the family: Transfer RNA (tRNA) molecules are approximately 80 nucleotides in length. Their secondary structure includes four short double-helical elements and three loops (D, anti-codon, and T loops). Further hydrogen bonds mediate the characteristic L-shaped molecular structure. tRNAs have two regions of fundamental functional importance: the anti-codon, which is responsible for specific mRNA codon recognition, and the 3' end, to which the tRNAs corresponding amino acid is attached (by aminoacyl-tRNA synthetases). tRNAs cope with the degeneracy of the genetic code in two manners: having more than one tRNA (with a specific anti-codon) for a particular amino acid; and 'wobble' base-pairing, i.e. permitting non-standard base-pairing at the 3rd anti-codon position. The record is from RNAcentral. Lineage: Bacteria; Pseudomonadati; Acidobacteriota; Terriglobia.
GCGGGGGUGGCGGAACUGGUAGACGCAAGGGACUUAAAAUCCCUUGUCCCGCAAGGGACGUGCCGGUUCGAUUCCGGCCCUCCGCACCA